This 273-nucleotide long non-coding RNA is filed under the name Mytilus galloprovincialis (Mediterranean mussel). Lineage: Eukaryota; Metazoa; Mollusca; Bivalvia; Mytilida; Mytilidae. The record is from RNAcentral.
GUCCAAGACGAAUAACCAAGAAGUUGGUUAUUGACUUCGAGAGAAAUGACAUUACGAUAAUUUUAUUGCAACGCCCGAGUGUACCGAUUGUUGUUGAACGCUAUUUAUAUAUUUUUGUGACGACAUUCAUUUCAUGGAAAACACCAUACAGCAUGGCUUGCAUGGGCAUGGACGCGAAGGAAAAACCAGCACAUCCAACCUUGAUCAACCUUGGUAAGAUGUUAUAACAACACACACUGUAACAUAAAUUGCAAUGCAACCUGAUACACCGAG